UUGUCGGGUAGCAAUAUUCGGCAGUCGGAGCGGCGCAAGGGUGCGUAACACGUGGGUAAUCUGCCAAAAAGUUUGGGAUAACUUGCUGAAAGGCGAGCUAAUACCGGAUGUGACGCUUGGGAGGCAUCUCCUGAUCGUUAAAGUUGGGGACCGUAAGGCCUGACGCUUUUUGAUGAACCCGCGGCCUAUCAGCUAGUUGGUGAGGUAACGGCCCACCAAGGCUAAGACGGGUAGCUGGUCUGAGAGGACGACCAGCCACACUGGAACCGAGACACGGUCCAGACACCUACGGGUGGCAGCAGUCGAGAAUUUUUCACAAUGGGCGCAAGCCUGAUGGAGCGACGCCGCGUGGGGGAUGAAUGGCUUCGGCCCGUAAACCCCUGUCAUUCGCGAUCAAACCUUGGUAUUUAAAAGAUGCCGAGCUGAUAGUAGCGGAAGAGGAAGGGACGGCUAACUCUGUGCCAGCAGCCGCGGUAAUACAGAGGUCCCAAGCGUUGUUCGGAUUCACUGGGCGUAAAGGGUGCGUAGGUGGCGAGGUAAGUCGGAUGUGAAAGCUCGGAGCUCAACUCCGAAAUGGCAUUGGAAACUACCUUGCUUGAG
This 600-nucleotide ribosomal RNA is filed under the name uncultured bacterium. Its description in RNAcentral is "bacterial SSU rRNA". It matches the Rfam family "Bacterial small subunit ribosomal RNA", at positions 68 to 646 of the family's 1533-position model. The record is from RNAcentral.